This 490-nucleotide ribosomal RNA is filed under the name uncultured bacterium. RNAcentral describes it as "partial 16S ribosomal RNA". It matches the Rfam family "Bacterial small subunit ribosomal RNA", at positions 29 to 506 of the family's 1533-position model. The record is from RNAcentral.
GUGAACGCUGGCGGUAGGCCUAACACAUGCAAGUCGAACGGCAGCACAGUAAGAGCUUGCUCUUACGGGUGGCGAGUGGCGGACGGGUGAGGAAUACAUCGGAAUCUACUUUUUCGUGGGGGAUAACGUAGGGAAACUUACGCUAAUACCGCAUACGACCUACGGGUGAAAGCAGGGGAUCUUCGGACCUUGCGCGAUUGAAUGAGCCGAUGUCGGAUUAGCUAGUUGGCGGGGUAAAGGCCCACCAAGGCGACGAUCCGUAGCUGGUCUGAGAGGAUGAUCAGCCACACUGGAACUGAGACACGGUCCAGACUCCUACGGGAGGCAGCAGUGGGGAAUAUUGGACAAUGGGCGCAAGCCUGAUCCAGCCAUACCGCGAGGGUGAAGAAGGCCUUCGGGUUGUAAAGCCCUUUUGUUGGGAAAGAAAAGCAGCAGGUUAAUACCCCGCUGUUCUGACGGUACCCAAAGAAUAAGCACCGGCUAACUUCGU